GAAUUAUCCCCACAAAGAUUUCGUGAACCCAGGCAUAAAUAGGGUCGAAAUACUUUGUUCGGAAAGUGAACGAACACGAUUCUUCGAAGAUUAUCCAGGAUUAUCAAUUAAUUAUCUAACAAAACACCUUCACCAAAUCUUCAACCACUACUCCAAUCUCCAACAGAACCGAACCUGCAAGAAAUCAUUCUCUCAAUACAUAACAAAAAAACCUUCCAUUAUUCCUCUACCGAUCUUCAUAACCUCAUCUUCAUAACUUGCAACGACCGCACAAGCAGAACAAUGGAGAAUUCACGGCAGAAAAGGAGAAGAAGCUUCGUCAUCUCAAUUGGCAAGGUACGAAUCCGAAAGCAACGUUCAUCUUCAUUAACCACGACACAACGAUUUGAAAAACCACAAGCAAAUCACGUAUUGAACCACAUCUUCACCUUCAAUCGAAAACGGAAUCGAAGAGGAAUUGCUAACAGCGCAAGAACUCACCACGAUUCAACCUCGUGACGGAUCAUCAGUGAGGAACGGUCUUCAUCACAAGCGUGAUUCCCACAUAUUCAUCCCUCAUCACAUCACGAACAUAGUGACAUAUCCGUCUUCUUCGUUCUUAAACGUCCCGUAUCAGUAAGGAUUCAACUGUCUUCAACCUCGAACCCUCAACCUCUCACUCCAUUUCAUCACACUCCAUCUUCACUCUUCAUUUCCAACCGCGCAACACACGCAAGACCCGUGGUUACGUAUUCAGGUUAGCUCUACAACCAUCUCUUUUUCGCACACAUUCUCGAUUAUGAAUACCACUUCGAUAUUGGUUUAGAUUCGAGGCCAAGUUUGAGAGCGAUGCCGAUUCUGUGUUCGUUUCCUUCUGCUCGACGGUGAACACACUUGAAGUAGGACACGACGCACGUUUGGAUGAAGAAUGUGAUGAAGUUGAAGAACAUGGUGAUGGUAACGAACAACUGCGACACCAAUUCGGUUCUUUCGCGUAGACGUAGUAGGUCUGUUUUCACCGUUGGGGCUUCGCGGAGGCUGCUGCAACUGGAUUCAGCCUAUGGAUGAAGAUCACAGAUCCGGGUUUGGGCUUCAGUCAGUUCCCUUUCUUUUUUUGCUGUUUGUUCACUGUUGCAUUGCUAGAACCAAUGAGCCUAGAUUGGGCCCCUGCAUCCGUAGUAACUAUCCACACACCUUUUCCUCCACUAUGCACUCCCCAAAUCCGGACAUUUGCCAUAGCAAAUGGGCUCUUCUUUGAGGCCCAUGUAGAGAUCCGCUUCCUGCACCCUCCGAAUCCAGUACACCCCCACUGAAUGGGCCUUGCAUCAAUCCAUCUCAGGGCCCAAUUGUUUUUUUUUUCUUUUUGUUUACUAAUUAACUUGUAUUUACUUUACUAGAAUAUUUAGAUUAGGAACAUUAGAAUUAAU
This 1406-nucleotide long non-coding RNA is filed under the name Lathyrus oleraceus (garden pea). RNAcentral describes it as "Pisum sativum (pea) long non-coding RNA (PSAT_LNC004712)". Lineage: Eukaryota; Viridiplantae; Streptophyta; Magnoliopsida; Fabales; Fabaceae. The record is from RNAcentral.